CCUACGUGAGGCAGCAGUGAGGAAUAUUGGUCAAUGGACGAGAGUCUGAACCAGCCAAGUAGCGUGAAGGAUGACUGCCCUAUGGGUUGUAAACUUCUUUUAUAAAGGAAUAAAACGAGGCACGUGUGCCUUUUUGCAUGUACUUUAUGAAUAAGGCUCGGCUAACUCCGUGCCAGCAGCCGCGGUAAUACGGAGGAUCCGAGCGUUAUCCGGAUUUAUUGGGUUUAAAGGGAGCGUAGAUGGGUUGUUAAGUCAGCGGUCAAAUCGUGGGGCUCAACCCCAUCCAGCCGUUGAAACUGGGGAUCGAGAGUGUGCGAGAGGGAUGCGGAAUGCGUGGUGUAGCGGUGAAAUGCAUAGAGAGCACGCAGAACCCCGAUUGCGAAGGCAGCAUACCGGUGCACAACUGACGCUCAGGCACGAAAGCGUGGGUAUCGAACAGGAUUAGAUACCCCUGUAGUC
This 459-nucleotide ribosomal RNA is filed under the name uncultured bacterium. RNAcentral's name for it is "partial 16S ribosomal RNA". It matches the Rfam family "Bacterial small subunit ribosomal RNA", at positions 338 to 795 of the family's 1533-position model. The record is from RNAcentral.